RNAcentral lists this ribosomal RNA (237 nucleotides) under uncultured bacterium. Its description in RNAcentral is "partial 16S ribosomal RNA". It matches the Rfam family "Bacterial small subunit ribosomal RNA", at positions 99 to 334 of the family's 1533-position model. The record is from RNAcentral.
CGAACGGGUGAGUAACGCGUGAGGAACCUGCCUCAAAGAGGGGGACAACAGUUGGAAACGACUGCUAAUACCGCAUAAGCCCACGGGUCGGCAUCGAUCUGAGGGAAAAGGAGUGAUCCGCUUUGAGAUGGCCUCGCGUCCGAUUAGCUAGUUGGUGAGGUAACGGCCCACCAAGGCGACGAUCAGUAGCCGACCUGAGAGGGUGACCGGCCACAUUGGGACUGAGACACGGCCCAA